ACGUAAUAGAUACCUGGUAGUCCACGCCCUAAACGAUGUCGACUGGUUGUUGGGGGUUUGACACUCUCAGUAAACGAAAGCUAAACGCGUGAAGUCGACCGCCUGGGGAGUACGGCCGCAAGGUUAAAACUCAAAGGAAUUGACGGGGACCCGCACAAGCGGUGGAUUAUGUGGAUUAAUUCGAUGCAACGCGAAAAACCUUACCUACCCUUGACAUGUCCGGGAGCCUGCUGAGAGGCGGGUGUGCUCGAAAGAGAACCGGAACACAGGUGCUGCAUGGCUGUCGUCAGCUCGUGUCGUGAGGUGUUGGGUUAAGUCCCGCAACGAGCGCAACCCUUGCCAUUAGUUGCCACCCGUAAGGGGGCACUCUAAUGGGACUGCCGGUGACAAACCGGAGGAAGGUGGGGAUGACGUCAAGUCCUCAUGGCCCUUAUGGGUAGGGCUUCACACGUAAUACAAUGGCGCGUACAGAGGGUUGCCAAGGAGCGAUCUGGAGCCAAUCCCGUAAAGCGCGUCGUAGUCCGGAUUGCAGUCUGCAACUCGACUGC
RNAcentral lists this ribosomal RNA (548 nucleotides) under uncultured bacterium. RNAcentral describes it as "bacterial SSU rRNA". It matches the Rfam family "Bacterial small subunit ribosomal RNA", at positions 772 to 1319 of the family's 1533-position model. The record is from RNAcentral.